Molecule: ribosomal RNA, 486 nt
Filed under: uncultured bacterium
Lineage: Bacteria
Description: partial 16S ribosomal RNA
Rfam family: Bacterial small subunit ribosomal RNA
Source: RNAcentral
AUUGAACGCUGGCGGCAUGCCUUACACAUGCAAGUCGAGCGGCAGCACGGGUGCUUGCACCUGGUGGCGAGUGGCGAACGGGUGAGUAUUACAUCGGAACAUGUCCUGUAGUGGGGGAUAGCCCGGCGAAAGCCGGAUUAAUACCGCAUACGAUCUACGGAUGAAAGCGGGGGACCUUCGGGCCUCGCGCUAUAGGGUUGGCCGAUGGCUGAUUAGCUAGUUGGUGGGGUAAAGGCCUACCAAGGCGACGAUCAGUAGCUGGUCUGAGAGGACGACCAGCCACACUGGGACUGAGACACGGCCCAGACUCCUACGGGAGGCAGCAGUGGGGAAUUUUGGACAAUGGGCGAAAGCCUGAUCCAGCAAUGCCGCGUGUGUGAAGAAGGCCUUCGGGUUGUAAAGCACUUUUGUCCGGAAAGAAAUCCUUGGCUCUAAUACAGUCGGGGGAUGACGGUACCGGAAGAAUAAGCACCGGCUAACUACGUG